GUGUGGGGCGAGGGAUGUGUAAAUUUAUGUACGUGCACACAUGUACGCUUGUGUAAAUUUAUGCUUUUAAGUUAAGCCAUUGACAUAUGGAUAUGGAGCCAACUUAAUUUCCUAUGAUUCAUGUGAACUGAAAACUGCAAUUUGUUAAUCAAGUAUUGAUGAUGGUUACUAAAUGACAGGUACAUUUGUCCAGAUCAUGUAAAUCCUUCUGAAUUACAGUACAUACACUAGUCUCGUACGCUUUCAUACUGUAUAGCUUUCCACAGAAUCAGUGUACAGGUUAUAAAAUCAAUUUACAGUACAUACAGUAGGUUAUAGCUUGCACUAAACUCAGCUGUACAGGUUAUAAAAUCAGUUUACAGUACAUACAGUAGGUUAUAGCUUGAACUAAACUCAGUUGUACAGGUUAUAGAAUCAGUGUACAUGUUAUAGAAGUAGUUUACAGUACAUACAGUAGGUUAUAGCUUGAACUAAACUCAACUGCUGCAAUAUGCUAUUAUCAAUUACUCUUAUCACAAUUUAUCUAGAGAAGUAAAGAAAAUAAGAACAACCAUGUAUAUUAGAUCAAAAUCAGUGUACAGAUUAUAGAAUCAGUUUACAAUACAUAUAAUCUAAACUCAGCUGCUGCAAUCUGCUAUUAUCAAUUACUCUUAUUACAACUUAUCAAGAGAAGUAAAUAAAAUAAGAACGACAAAGUAUAUUAGAUCAGAAUCAGUGUCCAGGUUAAAGUAACACAGCCCCAGGAACUUUAAUACAACAACAACAACAAACCCAAUGUAGUCCCAUAAGUGGGGUCUUGGAUACAGUGCUGGAAAUUCUGGAAAGAGUUAAUACAGUGCUGGAAAUUUUGGAAAGAUUUACAGGACCCCUCUUUGGAUUUUUCUCCUGCUGCUACUGUUCUUUGGCCUGAAGUGGACUUGGAGUUGGCAUUGAUCUACUAAUAGGGAUGGCAAUGGGGCAGGUCAAGGGUGGGGCAGGGCGGGGCAAUACUUAAAUGGGGCGGGGCAGGGAAGGGAAGUGAGAACAACACUUGCAUUUUGGGUGAAAGAGAUUAUAAGUCAUAAAGUAAUUGAAAGAAUGGAACACACUUACAUUGAACUUGCACUACAAAGGCUUCUCCCAAAUCCUAACAUAUGAAUUUUAGGAAAUGUAACAGCCAAGAGACAAGCUGUUCUUUCUUUUCUCAUAUAUACCACAACUUACUCUUCAUCAUAUGAUAGCAAUGGUGAGGAAAGCACAUUUUACUUAUGGGGAGAAGCAGGGAAUUACAAAAGAGAUAAAUGGGGUAGAUCAGGGCAUGGCUUAGUGGGGUAGGGGAGGGGAAGAAUCCCCAGUGGUUGAUUCUUCAUGAAUCUUCUCUGAGCUUGCUCGAAUUUGCAAACGCGAUUGAGGCAGAUUGUUGUUUAAUAUUGCUGGUAUCAGUAUUGCACAACUUAUGGCCUUGGUCCGGUGGCCCGUCAAGUUUAUGGCAGAUUGUUGUUAAAUAUUGCUGGUAUCAGUAUUUGCCGGUAUAUAUGUAUUGCGCAGCUGCUGCGAUCAAGAAUUUGUUCUUCGGAGACUUAGGUGCAAAUAUUUUUUUCUUUUUGUCUUCUAAUUCUCUGUUGAUACCAUGACAUUUUGGCACAAAAUUUGUUCCUUUAUACAUCAAAGUAAUUGGCAUUUUGUGAUGAAAUUCUUGAAUCUGUUUAGCACAAACUAAAGAUGCAUCAACUCUACAAUACCUUCCAGUUACUAAAGAUGCACAAACUCUACAAUACAUCACAGAAGUAAGUCAAAGAACUCCUUUAAUUUCCAUAAAACUUUUAGUCCAUCUUGGUGGUAAAAGCUUAUGGGUGGAUUGUGACAACGGUUUCAAAAGUUCAACUUACAAACCUGGUGUAUGUAAUUCCACACAAUGCACUUAUUCCAAUCCUAAUCACUGUGGUGACUGCAUAUUGAAACCAAAAUUGUAGCCUGGAUGCAACAACAAUAGUAGUUACAUUUGGGGUGAAAAUCCCUUGAUUGAUUGGUUUGAUGAUAGCGCUGAAAUUGCUGAUGAUGUAUUUGUUAUUGGUUCUACUCCUGGUGUUCGUGUAACUUUGCCACGGUUCAUUUUUGCUUGAAUCUGUUUAUUCCUGUUGCUUCAACAGACUGGCAGUGGUAGAAAAUUGCAGUACAAUGCAAUAUACAGCUGAUCAAACCAAGUGAUACCGAGAGGCCAUUUUUAUGGACAACAACAAGAAGCCUUUCAUGUUUACCAUAUGGGACGAUCUAACGGACAAUGAAGGGGUUGUACUACUACAACUGUUGCACGAGCACACUGUUAUUCUUGCAAAACGAGUAGUUGUUACAGCAUACCGUCGCGGGCAAAAGACAACGAACAAAUGCUCUUCGCUUAUACUUUGAGAAGCUCAUUUGAAUCAUUUUCAUCCCUCAAUCUUGCAUCUGUUGACAAUGAAACAAUAUCUAUCUCGGUCAUUCCUUCAUUGUCGUCUAGAGUGAGUUUAAAAUAUGACUUUCACUUUCUUUGUCAAUACUGACCAACUUCUCCAUAGUGAGAUUUCUCCACUAAAAAAACGCUAAUAUCUCUUUUGAGUUGUGAUCUGGCAACAAUAGACAUGGAAACAUUGGUUGAAAAAAUAUUAGCGAUGAGAGCUGAACAAGUGUAUGAAACAGUCGUUGUCCAGGUACUUCGUAUUAUCUCUUUCGAGUUGUGAUCUGCAUAAGUGUUUGUUCUAUACUGACAAAUGAAUCUGCCUUUUUCUUUGCUGAUUGUGACCUCUGUGAGAUUCAUUUUUCUUUAAGUUUUGAUAGAAUGAAAUUUUGCAUUUUAAUGUGGAUCAGUAGCCUAUAUGUUGUCUUGGGAAGGCACUGCCUUCAAGAUGAAUUAGCUUUGCAAGUGAUUCUUUAUUUCUUUUAGAUGUCUCUUGUCUUUAAAAUGUUGAAAUUUAUAAAGAGUUGUCUUCCAGCAGUCCAUUUAUGCCUAAGGGAAAUUACACCAGCAUUCCAUUUUGUUACUCGCUGUUUUUAUAACAGUACCACUACAUUGGGAAGGGAUUGGGAAGGUAUUGUUAAAAGUGACUAGUCUUGAGCAUAUUAAAUACAUGAUUUAUUUCACUAACUUAUUUUUAUUUUGAAUGUACUGGAAAAUGCCAGUAAUUGAAUUUGAAUACUGGCCAGAAGUAAACUCGAUCUAUUGUAGUGAACGAUGAAGAGUUUUUGUACUAUUGUCAUGUAUGUUUGAAUGCAUUUGGGUUUUGUGGAAUUUAUUGAUAGUAGAGAUCUUUAAGCAAUUGAUUUUUAAGUAUCGGUUGUACAAGACAUGUUUCCCGAAAUUUAUUUGAAAUAUAUUCCUUCGAUUUAU
Long non-coding RNA from Solanum tuberosum (potato), 3343 nucleotides. RefSeq lists it as uncharacterized. The transcript is spliced from 3 exons. NCBI's taxonomy places the organism in Eukaryota, Viridiplantae, Streptophyta, Magnoliopsida, Solanales, Solanaceae. The record is from RefSeq and is a predicted model, not a curated record.